RNAcentral lists this ribosomal RNA (724 nucleotides) under Trichobatrachus robustus. RNAcentral's name for it is "partial 16S ribosomal RNA". The stretch from base 1 to 640 matches the Rfam family "Bacterial large subunit ribosomal RNA", at positions 1832 to 2925 of the family's 2925-position model. Lineage: Eukaryota; Metazoa; Chordata; Amphibia; Anura; Arthroleptidae. The record is from RNAcentral.
CGCCUCUUGACACAUARGAGGUCCAGCCUGCCCAGUGACCAAAUUUAACGGCCGCGGUACCCUAACCGUGCAAAGGUAGCAUAAUCACUUGUUCUUUAAAUAAGGACUAGUAUGAACGGCAUCACGAAGACUAUACUGUCUCCCCCCUAUAAUCAGUGAAACUGAUCUCCCCGUGAAGAAGCGGGGAUACACCUAUAAGACGAGAAGACCCCAUGGAGCUUAAAACAAGUUUCACCUGCCCAUUACAAUAUCUUAAUAACCCAGCAGACAUGACUACUAGUUUUCGGUUGGGGUGACCACGGAGUAAAACACAACCUCCAUAAUGAACGGAACUAAACUCCUAACUUAAGAGCUACAACUCAAAAAAUUAAAAUACUAACACACUUGACCCAAAUAUUGAUCAAUGAACCAAGUUACCCUGGGGAUAACAGCGCAAUCCAUUUUAAGAGCUCCUAUCGACAAGUGGGUUUACGACCUCGAUGUUGGAUCAGGGUAUCCUAGUGGUGCAGCCGCUACUAAAGGUUCGUUUGUUCAACGAUUAAAACCCUACGUGAUCUGAGUUCAGACCGGAGCAAUCCAGGUCGGUUUCUAUCUAUAAAGUGCUCCUCCUAGUACGAAAGGACCGGAAGAACAUGGCCCAUGCUAAAACAAGCCAUACUCACCCAUUAAUGAAAACAACUUAAUUCCUAACGACCUAAAACAAGUCAAGGCCAAGACAAGGCCU